Long non-coding RNA from Lynx canadensis (Canada lynx), 1881 nucleotides. RefSeq lists it as uncharacterized. The transcript has 5 exons. The record is from RefSeq and is a predicted model, not a curated record. Lineage: Eukaryota; Metazoa; Chordata; Mammalia; Carnivora; Felidae.
AUGCCAGUGUUAUAACUCUAUCUUUAAAAUCUCUGUGUUGUGACUGUUCAUACACUGGGUUUUAACCAAGUCACUGACAAGAUGAAUGGUUUUCUCUUGGAAUUACAAUGCUGUGUCGGAAAAACCUUAGAAUAAAAUUCAAAAGAGUAUGGUUCUGAGUCAGACCACCACUUAUUUCAUUUAGUGAUUUUUGAGACAAAUCCCACAGACUCUGUGUCAGUUCAGCUAUCAAGUGAAUAUACAAGGACAAAUCCUAUGCUUAAUGUUUUAUACAUAUUUUUGUAUUCAUGAUUUUACCUUGACACUGAUGUUAACAAGCUAUUGAAGGGUUUCAUUGGUAUCAAACACAACUGAAUCUUGACCUAACUAUAGAUUGACUGACGUUAAGUAAGCUAAAUGGUCUCCUCAAGAUUCUAUGCCUACGUCUUCAUUUUAAAAUGAGUUCAUAUACUUAUAGUUCAUUUCUCAUCAGAUUGCUGUGAAGUCAAAAGUGAAAAAGCAUGUAAAGUGCCUUGCACAAAGCCUUCAUAUAAAAGGGAGUUAUCUUCAAGUCUCAGCUAUCCCUUUAACAAGGCUCACUCUGCUUUUCUCUUUUUUCCAAGGAAAAACACACGUUGUAAAAUAAGCAUUCUUCAAAGACAACCUGAAGACGUCUGGGAAUUCCAAAGGCUGAAAAUUCCAUGAGUUCAUAGAAGCUUUCACUAAUUCCACAGAUUUAAAGACAAAAGAGAGAGAGUCAACUGUGUGCCCAAACUCAUUUCUGAUGAUUUCUUCCAUCCUACCCUUUCUGCCUCUCUGGGGGUGGCUGUGCCUGUAAAAAACAUUGAAGUUGUCAGGAACAGAGUCUGCUUUCAAGACUGGAAUGUCAGAGUAGAGACUUCUGUUCCUCAGACCAGAAGAGACUUGAUUUGGUAAGAGUUUCCAGGUCUGAAAGGAGACAGAGCUGGGACAUGGGAACUGAUACAGAUAAACAGCACAAACACCUUGAGAGAGUGAUAUAUCAAGAGAGACUAGAAUAGGACAAGAACAAGAUCAUGACACAAGAUGAGAUAAGAAACCAGAAGACCCUGUCUAAAAGCUCUAAUGUGUGUUGCAACCAGAGGUUGACCAUAUCCCACGAAAUUCCACGUUACAUAAUUGCAAUGGGUAAUGGGCGCUUCCUUGUAAAAAGGAGAGAUUUGUUUUCCCUUUUAUGGCUAAAGUAAAAAGCAUGAGAAGUAGCCCCAUUAGGAAGAAUCAAGUGUCAUCAUGUGAACUGGCACAUCUCAGAUCGUGGACUACAGACAGCACAAGACUAUGAUCCCUAAGAAAAAGAAAACAGAUGAGAUUUGUAUUCUCUGAUGUCUCCCCUUGCCUACACUUGGUGCUUCUCUGAUUUAAUUGUUUGGAAGCAGUCACUGGAAGCAAGGCUAUGUGACUCAGCUUUGGUGAUGCAGUCCAGCUGGGGUCUGACAGUCUGAAAUUGUGGCGCACGCACCUUUGCUCUGAGCAGAGUCUCCACCACAGCUAUGAAUGGGGGGGUCUGGGAGACAAACACCCUCUCUUGUCAGAAUGAGCACAACCCCGAAGAAAACAUCACAACCCCGAAGGAAAUUACCGACAUCUUAAGGAAAUGGUUCUGACUGAGGUCUUCCAACAUGCAAUACUAUGUGCUGACUCAGGGAAAACUUAAGGCAACAUGCUGAAAACAUUUACAGGCCCGGAAAAUAACUGGUUUAAUAAUUCAAGAUGCUUUUAAGUUACAAAAAGAAUACUUAAAAACAAAUAAACCACCCUUUCCAAAAGCCGUGUCGUAGAGUCGGCCACUCUUGAAAUGAAAAAAACAGAGCUUGCCAUCAAAUGCAAAUUCAGCCUCUGAAACUCCUCAACAAUGGACAAAGA